AGGUCACAAGAUAUCUCAAAAGCCUCACAAUACGAGUUAUACCAAUACAGGCUCACCAGAUUGUAAAUGGAGCGCCGCCGGCUCGCGGUUAGCUGCCUGCCUCUCAGACACGGCGCUUUGCCCAGCUUGACAGGGAGUGAGCCUCACCCACCCCAUCCUCCCAAUCCCCCUGAGUUCCCUCCUCCCAGGCUUCCCCUAAAGGGCCUGGACUGCGUCAUUUUCCCAGGAACUGCAGUGCCCAGCCCAGGACGUGGUACAGAGUAACUGUACAUUAAACUGGCAGAGCUCGUUAGUGGUAAAGGUGGUGAGUCCUUGGGUGCGCAGCGGAGCUGCUCUGGGGCCUCUGAGCAAGCAGCAGCCUCUGUCUCACCUCUUCCCGUCACUGGGAGGGCCCCUUGGGUCUCGCUGUGCCUGGGGGCCAGGCUCUCUGCUUUAUUCUUUCAUCCCUGAGGCUCCAUCGCUCAGCUCAGUGCUGACUCAGUUCAGAGGAUUCUUCCCUCAGGACCGCAGCUCUUGCAGUGAAUAAAGUUUUAUGUUCCCUGCUCUUAAUGUUAAAUAUUAGUGAAUGUGACGUGUUAUAUUUUUCUCUCUCGGUGGGGGGAAGAGCUAAAUUACUUUUUACUUGCAUUGGCCCUGAAAUGAUUCUUAGCUAAGGAACAAAAUUCCUCUUCUUCUGGACUAGAAUAUUUAGGACCACUAGAUAUGCAUGUCUCAGGACUUAAUUCAGCAUCAGAAAGGCUAACCAGGCUGACUAGUAGAGGUAAUACUGCCAAAUCCUAGAUAGUCACAGGUCACUAAAGCACAGAUAAAUGGCAGAGAGAAGUAGGAAAGAGGAAAGGGGACAGGAAAGGGACCUAUGUGUAUUGAGCACUAAUAUGUGCCACAUGUUUAACAGCCUUUAUUUUAGUUAAUUGUCUCCUCUCUCCCACCUAGAGAAGUAGGCCCCAUCAUCCUUAUUUUACAGAUGAGGAAACUGAGGCUGGGAGAGGUCAAUUAACUUGCCCAGAGUCAUGUGGCUAAGUUGGGACUUCUUGAGCUCUGGUCUCCUGAUCCUUCCCUUCUUUCCUUCCUUCCUUCGGCAGAGCGUCCCUCUGUCACUCAGGCUGGAAUGCAGUAGUGCAAUCUUGGCUCACUGCAACCUCCACCUCCCAGGUUCAAGCAAUUCUCGUGCCUCAGACUCCCGAGUAGCGGGGAUUACAGGUGCGAGCCACCACACCUGGCUAAUCUUUCUUUUUCUUUCUUUCUUUCUUCCUUCCUUCCUCUUUCCUGCUUGCUUGCUUGCUUGCUUGCCUGCUUUCGACGGAGUCUUACUCUGUUGCUCAGGCUGGAGUGCAGUGGCGUGAUCGCAGCUUACUGCAACCUCCGCCUCCCAGGUUCAAGUGAUUCUCCUCUCUCAGCCUCCUGAGUAGCUGGGACUACAGGCACCUGUCACCAUGCCUGACUAAUUUUUGUAUUUUUAGUAGAGACAGGGUUUCACCAUAUUAGUCAGGCUGGUCUCAAACUCCUGACCUCAGGCGAUCCACCUGCCUCGGCCUCCUAAAGUGCUGGGAUUACAGGUGUGAGCCACCAUGCCUGGCCUAUUUUUUGUAUUUUUAGUAGAGGUUUCACUAUGUUGGCCAGGCUGGUCUCGAACUCCUGGCCUCAGGUGAUCCACCUGCCUCAGCCUCCCAAAAUGAUGGCAUUAUAGGUGUGAGCCACUGCGCCCCUCCUGGUCUCCUGAUUUCAAUACUGUGCUGGGUUUUCAGAAAGCCAGGUGCCAGGCCAGGGCUUGCAGAGGGGCUGAAAUGAAGCCAGGCCAGAAGACAGAGCAGCCAGGACUCUGACUGGACAGAACAGCCAGGACUUGGGCAGCAGCACUAUUGGGAUUUGGGGGCUCUCCAGCCCGUUUGGAAGAGCCUAGGCUCUCUCUGCCCGGUUGCAUAGGUUCUCAUACUCAUGAUGGGGGGGUGCGAUGGGGAAGCCGGGCAUGGGAGAGGAUGGCUCAUGCCCUGAAAGUCCAUGAGAGGCCUCCUCUCCCCACAUCUGCAGAAACCAGCCUGGACACCAAGUCUGUGUCAGAAGGCCACCUCAAGAGGAACAUCGUGGUGAAGACCGUGGAGAUGCGGGAUGGAGAGGUCAUUAAGGAGUCCAAGCAGGAGCACAAGGAUGUGAUGUGAGGCAGGACCCACCUGGUGGCCUCUGCCCCGUCUCAUGAGGGGCCCGAGCAGAAGCAAGAUAGUUGCUCCGCCUCUGCUGGCACAUUUCCCCAGACCUGAGCUCCCCACCACCCCAGCUGCUCCCCUCCCUCCUCUGUCCCUAGGUCAGCUUGCUGCCCUAGGCUCCGUCAGUAUCAGGCCUGCCAGACGGCACCCACCCAGCACCCAGCAACUCCAACUAACAAGAAACUCACCCCCAAGGGGCAGUCUGGAGGGGCAUGGCCAGCAGCUUGCGUUAGAAUGAGGAGGAAGGAGAGAAGGGGAGGAGGGCGGGGGGUACCUACUACAUCGCCCUCCACAUCCCUGAUUCCUGUUGUUAUGGAAACUGUUGCCAGAGAUGGAGGUUCUCUCGGAGUAUCUGGGAACUGUGCCUUUGAGUUUCCUCAGGCUGCUGGAGGAAAACUGAGACUCAGACAGGAAAGG
RNAcentral lists this small RNA (2618 nucleotides) under Pan troglodytes (chimpanzee). RNAcentral describes it as "retained intron". The record is from RNAcentral. Lineage: Eukaryota; Metazoa; Chordata; Mammalia; Primates; Hominidae.